RNAcentral lists this non-coding RNA (99 nucleotides) under Arthrobacter rhombi. RNAcentral's name for it is "SAM-I sequence". It matches the Rfam family "SAM riboswitch aptamer (S box leader)". Rfam says of the family: The SAM riboswitch is found upstream of a number of genes which code for proteins involved in methionine or cysteine biosynthesis in Gram-positive bacteria. Lineage: Bacteria; Bacillati; Actinomycetota; Actinomycetes; Micrococcales; Micrococcaceae. The record is from Rfam by way of RNAcentral.
CAACCAUCCAGAGCGGCCGAGAGAUCUGGCUCGAUGACGCCGCAGCAACCCCUUCCCGAAUCAUCGGGAGGAAGGUGCUCACGCCGGAACCGAUGGAGU